AUUAACUGUCAUUUGAAAUGUAUUUAUGUUUCAUUACAUUCAUUAAUUUUAUUAAUUUAAUAAUGGAGUACUAUUUAUAUUUAGAAAAUUAGCACUUAUCUGAUAUUUCAGUAAUCUAAUUAUGUAUACAGGAACUAGAAAGAUCAGUUUUUAAGAAAUUCCUUCAAAAUUGCUACAGAUAUGUAGUUCACAAGAAAAUUUAGAUUACGAGUAUGUGUGUUUCUGUGACAAUUCGCGAUAUUUGUUUCGUCUUAUAAUCUUAAUAUACAAAUUAGUAUAAAUGGACAUAAAUAUACUGAAACUGAAUUAAUCAACACCAUUACACACACAUGAACAGAAGAAAAAAAUUUUCAAAAAUUAACUAUCAAGAAAAUUAAUUUCAUAAAACAAAAUAAAUUAUCAGUUAAUGAUAAACAAGAAAGCAUUAAUAACUGUUUUGUACAAAUUUUCAAAAUUUUCAGUUUUUGGUAGAUUGCAGUUGGAGUGUAGAAGAAAUGAUAUUAACUUGCAUUGGGGGUAUAGAAGUAGUAGUGUUAACUUGGACUUGAAGGACAGAAGAAGGACAGUUGUAUGCAGUGAGACCUGGUUGUUUGCAUUUAUAGCAUCCCUGACCAUCCAAAUUGAGAAAAAUCUGAUAACUGGAUGUUUCAAAAUUGUAUAUUGUCUGGUAUGAUAACGUUAUUUGAGAUAAGAUCUCCAGGCUCAAAUCCAUAUCCUACCAUGGACUCUUAAGAUUUCCGGAUUUGUAACCAAGUGAACUCGUAUGACAUAGACAUAGCAGAAGAUUGAGAUAUUAAUAGGGUUCUUUUUAAACUCCGCUGCUGAAAUACAAAAAUCAAUAGGGCUCAAAUCUGGACUACAAAGUGGCCGGUUAACAGUUCCAUUAUUACCUGUCCAUAUAAGGAAUGCAUUCUUGAAUAAUUUCGAACGGAUAAGGAGGUGUUCUAUUCUACAUCGAAAUCAUAUGAUCAAGUAGUGAUAAAUAAAAUAUAUUUUUUUAUUAUCUAUGAAAUGAAAACACAAAGGUACCCUAUUGAAUUCUUUCUAUCCCUAAUACUUGCAUGCUAGCACUAAUCAAAUUCGGCCAAGACUAUAAAACUCAAACUGAAAAUUCAAAAGUGUACAUUUGUUAAACAGUUUCUUUCUAUGAAAUUAUCAAUUUUGAUUUACAGUUGACAUCUGAGAUUUGGCGUGUUGAAUCUUCUCGUCUAGUUCACUUCGUGACAAUUUGCCAAAUUUCAAUACAUUAUUUUAGAGACAUAAAAGAAGGACCUUCACCGAUUGAGUAUAACAUUAGUAAUAUUUCUUUGCGUCUCAAGUUCAUUUGCAUUCUAGAAUAGUUUUGAUUCAAUUAUCAACAUUUUUUGGAGCAUUUCUUCAACAUCUUGCUAAAGAAUCAGUUGAGCUACAUUCCCUGGAUUAUCUCUAUGCUUUUUUGUUUUUAACUGAUAUAACAGGUUUUCAAUGAGUUAUAGAUUUAGGAGAUACAUCCUCAUGCAUAAAUUCGGAAUUAUUUCCAAUUACACAUUUCUAAGACUCAACUAUUGGUUGUAAUAGCAAGUGAACGUAUCUCCUACGAAUUGAGUUUGGUUGAAUUGGAAAUAUUUUAUAAAUAUUUUAGUAUUUCCUCUUCCCAAGAUGUCUCUUCCUUCUUCUUCCUUUUCUCUUUCUUCAUUUCAUUCUCCUCUAUUUUACUCUCUACCCAUUCCCUUUUUUUGUUGCCCUUAUUUUUUUUAAUAUAUUGUUGUCGUUGUUGUCUGACGUUGUCGCCGUCUCCUCUUCUUCCUUUUCCAGUACCGUUGAUUGUUUGUCUAUCAUCUCACCGCUCCUAUUGAUUUUUUGUUUUUCCUUUGUAUUUGUAGUAGCUCCUGUUUAAUUAUUACUUGGAAGAGCUUUCUUGCAUUGAAAUAAUGAUUACUUUCUCAAAGUUUGAAUAUUUUAUUAAUAUAUAAAGAAAAAUAUGCCUGCUACAUUACAUAUCAUUUUCAGCGACAACUUAAACAACUGACAUACAUGAAGUUGUCUGCUAACAUUUCACCAACUAACACUCCUCCUCGAUUAAAAUGUUUCACAUAAUGAUACAUGAAAAUCGCCACUCAACUACUUAGCAAACAAAACUUAGACUACACUUACUUUUCUUCUUAAGUAAAUGAAAGCAUUCUUAACUAAAGUUUUAGUUAAUAUAUCAGCUAAAUUUUGUUCUGUUGACACAUAACUUACAGCAACUUCUUUUUUCGUAACUAAGUCUUUUAAAAAAUGAUUCUUAAUAUCUAUGUGCUUAGCUCUCUUAGAAUUUUCAUUGGACUUUGACAUUCAAAUAGAACUUUUAUUAUCACAAUAAAGAACUGCGCCGAUAAUAAUAUUAAAAUCACUCAAAAUACCCUUUAUAUUCACUAGGUCUUGAGCAGAACUAUGAGCCGCUGCCACAUAUUCAGCUUCUGUCGUAGAUAAUGCUACACAGUUUUGCUUCUUUGAAAACCAUGAUAUCGGAUUCAUUCCAUACAGUUUUAUGCAACCACUUACACUCUUUCUGUCAGUCGUAUCUGUUGCCCAAUCAGCAUCUGAAUAUCCCACUUGUUUAAUUUCAUCAGUAGUGUUUUUUAUAGAAUUUUAGCUCCAUUUCUUUUGUUCCCUGCAAAUAACGUAAGAUUCUUUUCGCUGCGUUCCAUACUUCAACUGUAGGUUUAUCUAGAAAUCUACUCAAAUAAGAUACUGAAAAAGACACAUCAGGUCUGGUGAUUGUGGACAGGUACUUAAGUCCCCCUAUUAUGUCGCUUUCACUUAAGUAUUGAAAUCCUUUGACCAUCGGUGUUGUUUUCGAUUUACAUUAUUUCAUGUUAAACUUGUCUAGCAGCUUCUCUAUAUACUUCUUCUGAUUUAUUACUAUUUUAUUUUCUGUUCUUGUUAUAUCCAUACCUAGAAAAUUCUUUAUUUUACCUAUAUCAUUUGCAUUAAAAUAAUUCUUCAAUAAAUUGACUACUGUUUCCACUUCUUUUUCUUCUCCGACUACCAACAUGUCAUCGACAUAAAUAAGGAUCCAUACUUUUCCAUUACGAUACAAACAACAAUCAUAUUUUGAUCUUUCAAAUUUGUUCUUACUUGCAAAGUCAUUAAAUGUAUCAUUCCAUAUUUUAGGAGACUCUUUCAAUCCAUAUAAAAAUCUGUUUAAUUUUAAAACUGGUGAUAUUGACUUUAGACCAGGUUUUGCAUAGAUAUAUACUUCAUUUUUCAAAUAACCAUUAAGAAAAGCCGUUGGAAUGUCCAACUGUCUUAUUUUAAAAUUUUGUUGCAAUGCAAUUGAUAGAACCAAUCUUAUGGUUGACAUUCGAGCAACAGGUGAAUAGACAGGUUUCAAAUGGAUGCUCCUCCUUCAUCUGAAAGCCUCUAGCCACCAAUCUUGCUCUCUUUGUUCCAUCUUCCUUUGUUCUGUAUACCCAUUUAGUCUCAGUUGCUGUUUUUCCUGUAGGUAGAUUCGCUUCAGACCACGUUUUCAAAUUUUCGUGCGAGUUUAACUCCUUUUCCAUAGCAUCUUUCCAAUCUUUCACUUUCACCGCAUCUUCAUAUUGUACUCGAUCAUUAUCUAAUGAUAUUAGACAGUAGGCGUAUUCACAGUUCUCCCGUUAGAGGUUGUAUCUGUUCUUGGUAAAUACUCUUUAAAACAUCUGAACUUUCGGACUCUUCCAAAGUUAUUUCUUCUGAGUCACUCUCUUCUUCGAUUUCAAUUUCAAUGUUAUCUUCUUUAUCCCUUAAUUCAGUUUCUUCAUCAAAUCUUAUUCUUAUUUGUUCAUUCGCAUAGUCAGGUUUUGUUUCGAUAUUUCUUCGAAACUCGUUUGAUUUUCAUUAAAUUUCACAUCUCUUGAGCAGAAAAUUUCACAUUUUUCAUUAUCCCAUAAUCCGUAUGUACCCUACCAUUAUACACGGUUGUGCUCGUCUAUUUAGUUUACUUUGUCUUGGCAAAAUAGUUGCCCUUGCCUGAGAUCCAAAAAUUCUCAAUCUUGAUAGAUCGUUGUGACCAUACCAUCGUGUGGCUGGAGUUUCUUCAAAAUUUGCCAUAGUAGGCAGAACAUAGAAUUGCUUCGCCCCAUAUCUCUCUUGGUAAGUUGGUUUUUGAAAACUUUGUCCUUACCUUAUCUAAAAGUGUCCGAUUCAUCUGUUCUGAAAUACCAUUCUGCUGCGGAGUAUGUGGCCUCGUAUACUCCAGCUGAAUCCCUUAGAUUUAUAAAAAUUUUCAAAGUAAUUAGAAGUAAAUUCUCCCCCAUUGUCCAAUCUAAUUCUUUGAGUUCUAAGCCCAUGUUUCGUUUUAAUGAGUUUAAUAAAAUCUAUAACAUUUUGUUCGCUUUCAUUUUUAUCUUUCAAUAGCUUAACAACUUAAAAAUGAUAAACUUGAAAAUACUUGUUACGUUCUGGCGUAGGAGUUUUUAUAUCUGUAUAUAUCAAUUCCCCUAUUUUUGUAGUUUUCUUUCCACAUCUAUAAAAAGAUGGAAACUUUUCUGAGAUACAUUAGUGAUCCAGGAUUCCAAAGUGGUGUUGCCAACGAGAUGGGGGUUGAAAGAAGUACCGUCAGCAGAACAUUUUCAAGUGUAUUGGAUAAAAUAGUGUCAAAGUCUGAAGAUUGGAUUAAAUUUCCACGCACUAUUGAAGAUAUGGAUCAGGCCAAUGCAGAUUGGGCUUCAAAAUUUCGCAUUCCGACUGUCAUUGGUGCUAUAGAUUGCACUCACGUGCAUAUAUGUGAACAGAAAAGGAAAAACAACAAUAAACAUUCAGAUGACUUGUGACGCUAAUGAAAAAUUACAAGUGUGGAUGCUCAAUGGCCAGGGAGUGUACAUGAUGGCAGGAUUUGGCGAGUGAGUGGAAUUCAGGACGUGGUGCGCCGAUAUGAUGGUGAUGUUUGUCUCCUUGGUGAUAGCGGAUAUGAAAUUACUCCUUGGUUACUGACUCCUUUUGACGAACCAAGAAAUGCUCGUGAGCGGAAUUACAAUUCGACCCAUGCUCAGGAAAGAGUAAUAAUUGAACGAGUUUUUGGCCAGAUGAAACGUCGUUUUCCCAUACUCUCGAGCCAAAUUAGAAUAGCAGUCAAAAAUGUUCCCAAUUUAGUAAUAAGUUGUGCAAUGCUUCACAAUGUAGCAAAACAUUUGAAUGAUGCUUGGGAAGAGGAAGACGGAAUCGAAAAUUUAGAUCGGAAUGAAGUUAUAUAUAAACGACGUGGUCAGCAAAAACGAUUAGAAAUUAGUAAUAAUCUGAUGAUGUAAAUACUCAUUUUUGACAUGGAAAUAAAUUUAAUCCUAUUUCCUUUACUCCAAUUGCAAUCGCAUAUGUGAAAAAAUAAAAUAAAAAAUAUAUAAAAAAACAAACA
Long non-coding RNA from Diorhabda sublineata, 5353 nucleotides. RefSeq lists it as uncharacterized. The transcript has 5 exons. The record is from RefSeq and is a predicted model, not a curated record. Lineage: Eukaryota; Metazoa; Arthropoda; Insecta; Coleoptera; Chrysomelidae.